RNAcentral lists this ribosomal RNA (434 nucleotides) under uncultured Lachnospiraceae bacterium. Its description in RNAcentral is "bacterial SSU rRNA". It matches the Rfam family "Bacterial small subunit ribosomal RNA", at positions 341 to 792 of the family's 1533-position model. The record is from RNAcentral. Lineage: Bacteria; Bacillati; Bacillota; Clostridia; Lachnospirales; Lachnospiraceae.
ACGGAAGGCAGCAGUGGGGAAUAUUGCACAAUGGGGGAAACCCUGAUGCAGCGACGCCGCGUGAAGGAAGAAGUAUCUCGGUAUGUAAACUUCUAUCAGCAGGGAAGAUAAUGACGGUACCUGACUAAGAAGCCCCGGCUAACUACGUGCCAGCAGCCGCGGUAAUACGUAGGGGGCAAGCGUUAUCCGGAUUUACUGGGUGUAAAGGGAGCGUAGACGGCAUGGCAAGUCUGAUGUGAAAACCCGGGGCUCAACCCCGGGACUGCAUUGGAAACUGUCAGGCUAGAGUGCAGGAGAGGUAAGUGGAAUUCCUAGUGUAGCGGUGAAAUGCGUAGAUAUUAGGAGGAACACCAGUGGCGAAGGCGGCUUACUGGACUGUAACUGACGUUGAGGCUCGAAAGCGUGGGGAGCAAACAGGAUUAGAUACCCUGGUA